GAUGAACGCUGGCGGCGUGCCUAAUACAUGCAAGUCGAGCGAACAGAUGAGGAGCUUGCUCCUCUGACGUUAGCGGCGGACGGGUGAGUAACACGUGGAUAACCUACCUAUAAGACUGGGAUAACUUCGGGAAACCGGAGCUAAUACCGGAUAAUAUAUUGAACCGCAUGGUUCAAUAGUGAAAGACGGUUUUGCUGUCACUUAUAGAUGGAUCCGCGCCGCAUUCGGUAGUUGGUAAGGUAACGGCUUACAAAGGCAACGAUGCGUAGCCGACCCGAGAGGCUGCUCCGCCAGACCGGUACUCUAACGCGGUACUAACUCCUACUGGAGGCAGCAGUAUGGAGUCUUCCGCCAAGGGAGACAGUCUGAUCGAGCAACCACGCACGAGUGAUGAAGGUCCGCGAGUCGUAGAACUCUGUUAUUAGGCAAGAACAACUGUGUAAGUAACUUCACCCGUCUUGACAGUACCAGACAAGAAAGCCACGAAUAGCUUCAUG
RNAcentral lists this ribosomal RNA (497 nucleotides) under uncultured bacterium. RNAcentral's name for it is "partial 16S ribosomal RNA". It matches the Rfam family "Bacterial small subunit ribosomal RNA", at positions 28 to 507 of the family's 1533-position model. The record is from RNAcentral.